Molecule: non-coding RNA, 228 nt
Organism: Vicia faba (fava bean)
Lineage: Eukaryota; Viridiplantae; Streptophyta; Magnoliopsida; Fabales; Fabaceae
Source: the annotation of a GenBank genome assembly
AUGUUAAAACCCCAAAUCGAUGAAUUUAUAUUAUGUUGUUGGUCAUACCAUGUAAAAUCUAAGGAUGUUCCUGAUACAGUCAAGAAAGCGUUCAUACGCUAUAUUUCUUUAGAUUAUUGUGGAGACCGUAAUUGUGAGAAAAACCAAGGGGCUUGUCGAUCCACGAUGAUUCUUCAAGCUGAGAGAAGAGAGAUCGAUUACUUUUGGUUUCACGAACAAAUUGAUUAG